ACUUUAUUGGUUCAGUGGCAGAACGUCUGCCUCGUAAACAGAAGGUCGCUCGUUCGAUCCAGCAUGAAGCA
This 71-nucleotide transfer RNA is filed under the name Wuchereria bancrofti. It matches the Rfam family "tRNA". Rfam says of the family: Transfer RNA (tRNA) molecules are approximately 80 nucleotides in length. Their secondary structure includes four short double-helical elements and three loops (D, anti-codon, and T loops). The record is from Rfam by way of RNAcentral. Lineage: Eukaryota; Metazoa; Nematoda; Chromadorea; Rhabditida; Onchocercidae.